CCUACGGGAGGCAGCAGUGGGGGAUAUUGCACAAUGGGGGAAACCCUGAUGCAGCGACGCCGCGUGGGUGAAGAAGCGCCUCGGCGCGUAAAGCCCUGUCAGCAGGGAAGAAAAUGACGGUACCUGAAGAAGAAGCCCCGGCUAACUACGUGCCAGCAGCCGCGGUAAUACGUAGGGGGCAAGCGUUAUCCGGAUUUACUGGGGGUAAAGGGGGCGGAGACGGCGAUGCAAGCCAGGAGUGAAAGCCCGGGGCCCAACCCCGGGACUGCUCUUGGAACUGCGUGGCUAGAGUGCAGGGGGGGCAGGCGGAAUUCCUGGUGUAGCGGUGAAAUGCGUAGAUAUCAGGAGGAACACCGGUGGCGAAGGCGGCCUGCUGGACUGCAACUGACGUUGAGGCCCGAAAGCGUGGGGAGCAAACAGGAUUAGAUACCCCAGUAGUC
This 440-nucleotide ribosomal RNA is filed under the name uncultured bacterium. Its description in RNAcentral is "partial 16S ribosomal RNA". It matches the Rfam family "Bacterial small subunit ribosomal RNA", at positions 338 to 795 of the family's 1533-position model. The record is from RNAcentral.